RNAcentral lists this long non-coding RNA (576 nucleotides) under Mus pahari (shrew mouse). RNAcentral describes it as "lncRNA (MGP_PahariEiJ_G0003247.1)". Lineage: Eukaryota; Metazoa; Chordata; Mammalia; Rodentia; Muridae. The record is from RNAcentral.
GAAGUCUCUCUCCUCCUUGAUCAUCUUUGCCUCCAACUUCCGUUCGAGCGUCCUCACCCUCAGUAGAGGAGAAACUGAGGCCCCUCUUCAGGGCAAUUCUACAUCAAGCCAUUAUAUGACUAACUGCCUUGUCUGAGGCAUUGAGCCCAGGCCACCCAGGAGGUAGAUGACUGCAGCUCCUCUCCACAAUACACCUCAGCUGUGUUGGGUGCCACAAUGCCCUCACUUACUGCUUCAUAACUUAUCUGCAACGUCCGCAGGUGUCUGUCCCCUAGGGAUUCUUCAUGAGCUGCAAAGUCUGCAUUCGGACUCCCAGCUGGAGAUGCUGGGGAGACCCUGGAGUCAGUGUUACUCAGUGUCCAUGGGGGCAAAGACUCGGGACCUGCCAGCUCUGAUGCGUCGGAGAAAAAGGAAAGGCUGAGGUUCUUGGUUUUCAAAAACUCUUUGAAGGAGAAUGGAUUGGCUUCUUCAAGGUCUUCAAGUUUGUCACCUGAAAAAAUGAACACCACAGAGACUGUGAAAGGGCCCAACAUCCUGUGUUACCAUUACAUUUCAACUGUGACUCAAAGAACACUA